GCACCUAUGGCCGAGUUGGUCUAAGGCGUCGGAUUCAAGUCCCGAUCUCGCAAGAGGCAGGGGUUCGAAUCCCCUUGGGUGCA
Non-coding RNA from Powellomyces hirtus, 83 nucleotides. Lineage: Eukaryota; Fungi; Chytridiomycota; Chytridiomycetes; Spizellomycetales; Powellomycetaceae. The record is from the annotation of a GenBank genome assembly.